UGGGGAAUAUUGCACAAUGGGGGAAACCCUGAUGCAGCAACGCCGCAUGAAGGAAGACGGUUUUCGGAUUGUAAACUUCUGUUCUUAGUGAAGAAUAAUGACGGUAGCUAAGGAGCAAGCCACGGCUAACUACGUGCCAGCAGCCGCGGUAAUGCGUAGGUGGCAAGCGUUGUCCGGAAUUACUGGGUGUAAAGGGAGCGCAGGCGGGAGACCAAGUCAGCUGUGAAAACUACGGGCUUAACCUGUAGACUGCAGUUGAAACUGGUUUUCUUGAGUGAAGUAGAGGUUGGCGGAAUUCCGAGUGUAGCGGUGAAAUGCGUAGAUAUUCGGAGGAACACCGGUGGCGAAGGCGGCCAACUGGGCUUUAACUGACGCUGAGGCUCGAAAGUGUGGGGAGCAAACAGGAUUAGAUACC
RNAcentral lists this ribosomal RNA (415 nucleotides) under uncultured bacterium. Its description in RNAcentral is "bacterial SSU rRNA". It matches the Rfam family "Bacterial small subunit ribosomal RNA", at positions 355 to 786 of the family's 1533-position model. The record is from RNAcentral.